GACGAACGCUGGCGGCGUGCUUAACACAUGCAAGUCGAACGGAAAGGCCCUGCUUUUGUGGGGUGCUCGAGUGGCGAACGGGUGAGUAACGCGAGAGUAACCUACCCUUGCCUUUGGGUUAGCUUAACGGCACUGAGGCUUGUCCCGGAUAGGAGCUCCUGCUGCUUGGUCGGGGUUGGUCUGUUUCUGCGGUUGGGGAUGGACUCGCGGCUUGUCAGCUUGUUGGUGGGGUUGGGGGUUACCAAGGCUUUGACGGGUGGCCGGCCUGAGUGGGUGACCGGCCACAUUGGGACUAAGAUACGGCGCAGACUCCGAGGGGAGUGAGCAGUGGGGGAUAGUGCACUAUGGGCGGGAGGCGGAAGCAAUGACGCCGCUUGCGGUAUGACGGCCUUCGGGUUGUAAACCGCGUUUGCCUGUGAUGAAGCGUGAGUGACGGUAAUUGGUAAAGAAGCACCGGCUAACUACGUG
This 468-nucleotide ribosomal RNA is filed under the name uncultured bacterium. RNAcentral describes it as "partial 16S ribosomal RNA". It matches the Rfam family "Bacterial small subunit ribosomal RNA", at positions 28 to 507 of the family's 1533-position model. The record is from RNAcentral.